This 1344-nucleotide long non-coding RNA is filed under the name Capsicum annuum. RNAcentral's name for it is "long non-coding RNA (CANN_LNC010801)". Lineage: Eukaryota; Viridiplantae; Streptophyta; Magnoliopsida; Solanales; Solanaceae. The record is from RNAcentral.
GCAAAUAAACAAUCAAACAAAUUCAAAACCAAAAUAAUGUCCAGUUCGAAUUAUACAGUCUCAAGGAUAGAAAUACAAAAAUAUAAAUCCUAUUCUAGAGUAAUCCUAAACUAUGCUCCAAUGCUUAUCCGAUGUCUCGGGCCUUCAUCACGAACGUCUUCCACCAACAUAAUACAUCAGGGCAUUCCCCGGUGAAUAAAUACAAUGUGUCUUGGGGCAUUCCCUGACUCCAAAUGCGAGAAAGACAAACCAUUUCACAAACAUUCCAAACACAUAUUUAAACAUUCAACACAUUCAAUCAACACACCACUCCUAAAUUUUACCUACCCGAACCUAAACAUUUUACCUAUCCAAUGCGACCUAUCAUGAUACUAUAGAAUUUACAAACUUCAUUCCGAAUUAAGCAAAACAACAAAGAACCAACAUUAAACCAAAUUUACCCUUUUAUCAAUCUCGCAAUUCCACCCCAAAUUCUCUUCUCAACACUAAAUUUCCACAAUUCACAAUUUCUAUUUCAACAAUCCACAAUCACUUUUCAACAAAAAUUAAGCAACAAGUCAAUAUCAAAGUAGCAAUUUAUCACCAACCAUGAUCAAACAACACACGAGAUUCCAUCCAAUGCACCAUAUUCCAUCAAUAAUGAAAAAAAAAAAGGAAAAGAGUAGAAAUGGACCUCAAUCAUGAUUUUAUUUCAAAUAUAAAUCAAUCGAAAAGAUGACUCUGCAUGACGAAGAACCCCGAAUCAGCCUUGAAGAAUACCACAACUCAACUAUGAACCAACUCCAACACGAAAAUCUUCGAAACCCGAUCCAAAUACAACACCAGUGUUAAAUUGUUUAGAAUCGCUUUUAAAAAAACAUGUUGAUGGUGCUACUAUUGUUCACUUAUUUCCGAUAGUAUCUCCUAAAAAUUAGAAAGAAACGAUGAGUUAUGUUGGGUUUUCGGCACGGGAUGAGUUAACUCGAACGGAUGGUGCUAAUUUCGGAGAGAAUCUUGUUGGGAAAACUUGAGAAUCCCUUUAUCUCUGGUUUUCUCACACUCUGACCAGUGCUAUCUUUCACUCUCCUUGUUUUCUCAAUUUCUCUCUCAAUAGAUCUCUCCCACUCCUAUCUUAGUCUCUUCGGUCACCUCACUCCUCAAUUUCCCUAUACCAGUCUAUGUGUCCCCAGAUAUCAUGAGGUUGGUGAGUAUAUCCGUGAGCCAGAAGAAAUAAAAGAUGAUGAGUGGAAGAAUGAAGUAUCUUGCUGUGAUGAUAUAAGAUGGAGAAGAUGAAGUUGAUGGUGUCCCCCCUCUGUAUUGUUACUGUGAGUGUAUAUAUGAAUUGGGGAAUUCCCUGUGGGGCCC